RNAcentral lists this ribosomal RNA (377 nucleotides) under uncultured bacterium. RNAcentral describes it as "bacterial SSU rRNA". It matches the Rfam family "Bacterial small subunit ribosomal RNA", at positions 523 to 898 of the family's 1533-position model. The record is from RNAcentral.
AUACGUAUGUCCCGAGCGUUAUCCGGAUUUAUUGGGCGUAAAGCGAGCGCAGACGGUUGAUUAAGUCUGACGUGAAAGCCCGGAGCUCAACUCCGGAAAGGCAUUGGAAACUGGUCAACUUGAGUGCAGUAGAGGUAAGUGGAACUCCAUGUGUAGCGGUGGAAUGCGUAGAUAUAUGGAAGAACACCAGCGGCGAAGGCGGCUUACUGGACUGUAACUGACGUUGAGGCUCGAAAGUGUGGGUAGCAAACAGGAUUAGAUACCCUGGUAGUCCACACCGUAAACGAUGAACACUAGGUGUUAGGAGGUUUCCGCCUCUUAGUGCCGAAGCUAACGCAUUAAGUGUUCCGCCUGGGGAGUACGACCGCAAGGUUGAA